RNAcentral lists this ribosomal RNA (695 nucleotides) under uncultured Gilliamella sp. Its description in RNAcentral is "bacterial SSU rRNA". It matches the Rfam family "Bacterial small subunit ribosomal RNA", at positions 662 to 1357 of the family's 1533-position model. Lineage: Bacteria; Pseudomonadati; Pseudomonadota; Gammaproteobacteria; Orbales; Orbaceae. The record is from RNAcentral.
UAGAAUUCCACGUGUAGCGGUGAAAUGCGUAGAGAUGUGGAGGAAUACCGGUGGCGAAGGCGGCCUUCUGGACAGAUACUGACGCUGAGAUGCGAAAGCGUGGGGAGCAAACAGGAUUAGAUACCCUGGUAGUCCACGCUGUAAACGAUGUCGAUUUGGAGUUUGUUGCCUAGAGUGAUGGGCUCCGAAGCUAACGCGAUAAAUCGACCGCCUGGGGAGUACGGCCGCAAGGUUAAAACUCAAAUGAAUUGACGGGGGCCCGCACAAGCGGUGGAGCAUGUGGUUUAAUUCGAUGCAACGCGAAGAACCUUACCUGGUCUUGACAUCCACAGAAUCUUGCAGAGAUGUGAGAGUGCCUUCGGGAACUGUGAGACAGGUGCUGCAUGGCUGUCGUCAGCUCGUGUUGUGAAAUGUUGGGUUAAGUCCCGCAACGAGCGCAACCCUUAUCCUUUGUUGCCAUCGGUUAGGCCGGGAACUCAAAGGAGACUGCCGUUGAUAAAGCGGAGGAAGGUGGGGACGACGUCAAGUCAUCAUGGCCCUUACGACCAGGGCUACACACGUGCUACAAUGGCGUAUACAAAGGGAGGCGACCUCGCGAGAGCAAGCGGACCUCAUAAAGUACGUCUAAGUCCGGAUUGGAGUCUGCAACUCGACUCCAUGAAGUCGGAAUCGCUAGUAAUCGUGAAUCAGAAUGU